Austrofundulus limnaeus is the source of this 712-nucleotide long non-coding RNA. RefSeq lists it as uncharacterized. The record is from RefSeq and is a predicted model, not a curated record. Lineage: Eukaryota; Metazoa; Chordata; Actinopteri; Cyprinodontiformes; Rivulidae. The transcript has 2 exons.
CAGCUGCUGCUUGUGCUCCCUUCCUGUCCGCCCUCCAUCUCGACCAUGGUGGACAUUCUGCUGUUGAUGUUUUUCGCCGUCAUGGGCCUGGUCUUCCUCUCCUACAUCAUCUACAUGUUGUGAUGAAGACGCGUUCGGCUCAGCAGAGGCGCGAGCUGCCGCCGCGCAUCAUCAUCAUCMUCAUGUAUCGUCUUAACUGAGUGAAGAAGCAGGUCUGGGCCAUGAUGAUGCUCCUCCUGCAGCUCUCAGAUGGGACAUGAUAUGAGGAGUCCAAAGAACAAAUGGACAUCCUCUUCAUCACUUUUUUAAUCACUUUCAUCAUUUUCCUCACUCUGAUCUGGUCACUAAUCUCUAAUCUUAAUCUCACCCUGGUUCAGUUUGUCAGCUGGAGGCACAAAUCCUGUGUUUAUACGGGUUAGUCUUUUUUUUAUAUUACAUUUGUUUUAAAUCAGUUUGACACAAUUACCUAAAAACUGGUGUGCAAUUCAAUCACAAAAACUUCAGCAACAUAUUGGUUGUAAUCAAAAAUAUUUCAGCCCAGUUGCUCGGUUUCUGUUUUUGUUCCCUCAGAAUGAAUAAGGGUCAAAAAUCCAUCCACACGCCUUUCCGGAUGUACUUUUACAUGACGUGUUCUGAUUUGCUGUAUCAUGUUUACAGAUGCACUAACAGCUCGCUGAAAUUAUGUGUUGAAUAAAAAAAGACUAUCGAUGAA